GGCCCCGUUUGGAGAGCAGAUGACCCAUUCCGGCAACCCCGGGCCCUGUGAUUACGGUCCUGGUUCUCGAAGGGGGGGUCCUGCUGCCAGUCCCAAGAAACCUGAUGAUAACGGCUCCAGCGCGUCAGUGAAAUUCACCACUUUUAGUCCGUGAGUCACAAACUUCGCUACAUUUGCUGACUUGUGCGACCGUCAGCAGAGCCGAGUUUCAAAACGUUUCCGUCCUCUCGGUGAGAUCUUUUGUCCACGUCCACACUUCAUCCCCAUCACAACCUUCAACCCCGGGCGGCCGCGGAUUUACUUUGUCUCUACAGAUUUUCCUUUUCUGGGCAUGUCACGUAAAGGAAAUCGUACGCCGCGUGGUCUUUUGGCCUCCGUUGCCUGAUAGGUUGUCCAGCUUCCUUCCCACCGUAGCGUGUAGCAGCAAAUUCGGUCCUUUUUAUCGCACUUUGUGUCAUCCGAAUGCCUUCUGACCUCCACCGUUUUUAAAGACAAUCAGAUUGUGGUUUUCCGGUACAUAAUGAAAAAUUUUGUUGCUGACCGCAUCAAGACUUCAUCCGUGAUGACAUGGUUCAUGGCUACAAUCUUCAUGAUGUGCCUAGGUCCGGUCCGUGGAAUAUCAUUGAUGUAAAUGAACCAGCAUCAUGGCCUGGUAAGGGAGAGACAAGCAAAGUCCCCAGGGAGAAGAUUGUGGCGUGGCUAGAGAGUUGGAUACACCCCGGAGGUCAGGCGACGGUAAUGGAUUACAGGCUAAAAUCAAAUUUGUUUGUUGGUCUUUACUAACAGCUACAGAGAAAAAGGCAUAUUCACCAGCUAAACAGUAACGGACCAGGUAUCAAUCAGCGUGUCGAUUUGCUCCACAAUGAAACCACCCCUGGAAAGCAGCUGCAAAUCAGACCCAACAUGUGAUUAAGUUUAUAAUGGUUUACUGUCAUUCUCCAGGACCCACCUAUGUCCUUCUCAGACCAAAUAGACGUUGAAAGAAGAUACUGUGGCAAUCUUCCCUCCCGCACCUUUCAAGUCCUUGAUGUUGGCACGGAUCUCUGCAACCCCUCCACUAACAACACAGAAUGACUUUUGGUGUACUUUUUUCAGAGAUAGAGGCAGUUCUAGUGACUUCCGGCUGGCCUUUCCCGCCAUAAUAGACACCACUCCAUGGGUCCGAGAGUCGAUUUGGGGGUCCUGACGCUGGUUGGGUGCGUCUAUUCCAAUUACGCGUCCCAAGACCUGGGAGAAAACCGGAAGGUGGGUUCGGAGACCACUGGGCCCAUUAUGAGAUAGACUUGAAUAAAAUUUCACUGAUCACUCAACUUCCACCUGGCAGGCCAC
Molecule: long non-coding RNA, 1329 nt
Organism: Prionailurus viverrinus (fishing cat)
Lineage: Eukaryota; Metazoa; Chordata; Mammalia; Carnivora; Felidae
Exons: 3
Source: RefSeq, a predicted model, not a curated record